UGGUGAGGUGUCCGAGUGGCUGAAGGAGCACGCCUGGAAAGUGUGUAAACGUUUAUAGCGUUUCGAGGGUUCGAAUCCCUCUCUCGCCAA
Molecule: transfer RNA, 90 nt
Filed under: Acinetobacter haemolyticus
Lineage: Bacteria; Pseudomonadati; Pseudomonadota; Gammaproteobacteria; Moraxellales; Moraxellaceae
Description: tRNA-Ser(gga)
Rfam family: tRNA
About the family: Transfer RNA (tRNA) molecules are approximately 80 nucleotides in length.
Source: RNAcentral